CUUUCUCUUUUGGUCAUGUUUUCUCCUCCCACUGUGUCAUGUGGGAAGACACUUCCCGUCAUACAGUAACCUCUGAUGGGGAACUUGUUCCUCGGAAAAAAACCCUCAUCUGCAGUCGGCUUCAGAUUUUUCACCUGGAACAGAAAAACAACUAAAAAGAAAAAAGAUAAGAGGAACUGGAAGACCGUAAGGCGAUGGCGGAAACGUCUUCAAAUGAGCCAGAAACUCCAGAUGUCGACCAACAUCAUGACCCAAGGUCGCUGCCCAGCAGGUCGGAGCCGGAUGGCUUAGAGCACCAUCCUGUGGUCGAAUUGCAGAACUGCAGCUAUUCGGACCAAAGUGACCCGGACGCCUCAUUCAACCGUGCCAUGAUGAUGAUCUUCUUCAGCAUCCUGUGUUAUACUCUGUUGAAUUUAUUAAUUUUUGAAUAUCUUUUACCACCUUAUAUGAGUUCUGAGGGUUAUUUCAUUGCUACACCACAGCAAUUUGGUCUCAGCAGGAACGGCUAGCUGCUAACUAGCGAUGUUUGCUGUUGCCGUUGUCGUCGCAGUAUUUGCGAAGAAGGCGACGAAGAAGAACACCGGUAAAGCACUGCAAAGGGAAGUGGAAGCGCAAAC
Molecule: long non-coding RNA, 617 nt
Organism: Thunnus maccoyii (southern bluefin tuna)
Lineage: Eukaryota; Metazoa; Chordata; Actinopteri; Scombriformes; Scombridae
Exons: 5
Source: RefSeq, a predicted model, not a curated record